AAAAAGAUGAUGAUAACUAAUAUUAUACAAGAAGAAAGAGAAGAAGCAAGAAAAAAAAAAAAAAAAUAAAAUAAAAUAAAAUAACUGAAACUUGAAAUAAGUGGCGAAAGAUAUUUCAAAUUUCAUUAUACAAAAUAUUUCUUUUUUCUUUUUUUUUUUUCUUUUAGAAGAUAUAAUCUUAAUUAUAUUUUAUAAAAUAAAUUAAAAAAAAAAAUAUAAUUGUAAAAUCUUCUUAACAAGAACAAAUACAAAACAUUUUGUAUUCUUAUUAUUUCAUUAAUGAAAUGAUAAUUUACAAACUUGAUAAAAUAGAAAAAAUUAAAAAAUAAAAUAAAUCUUUACGAAUGUUAGAGAUAAUUUUUAUAUAUUUUAUUUUUUACCUAUUUAUCAAAACACCAAAAGGGAAAAAAAAAAGAAAAGGAAUAAAUCAAUAAAUAUAUAUAUAUAUAUAUAUAUAUAUAUAUAUAUAUAUAUAUUUUAUAUAUAUACAUAUUUGUCAAUUGGACAAAAUUGUUUGCUCCUUUGACACAGUAUGAAUUUUUUUUUUUUUUCUUUUUUUGCUUCUUCUCAUUUCUAUUAUCAUGAUUGAAGAAUGGAAAAAAUCUUUGGUAAUCUGAUUUUUAAUGA
Molecule: small nucleolar RNA, 627 nt
Filed under: Plasmodium falciparum NF54
Lineage: Eukaryota; Apicomplexa; Aconoidasida; Haemosporida; Plasmodiidae
Source: RNAcentral